UGGGGAAUCUUGCACAAUGGGGGAAACCCUGAUGCAGCGACGCCGCGUGAACGAUGAAGCCCUUCGGGGUGUAAAGUUCUUUCAACAGGAACGAUAAUGACGGUACCUGGAGAAGAAGCUGCGGCUAACUACGUGCCAGCAGCCGCGGUAAUACGUAGGCAGCGAGCGUUGUUCGGAGUUACUGGGCGUAAAGAGUGCGUAGGCGGUUUUCUAAGUUCGGUGUGAAAUCUCCCGGCUUAACUGGGAGGGUGCGCCGAAGACUGGGAAGCUGGAGUGUGGGAAAGGCAGGCGGAAUUCCUGGUGUAGUGGUGAAAUGCGUAGAUAUCAGGAGGAACACCGGCGGUGUAGACGGCUUGCUAGACCAUAACUGACGCUGAGGCACGAAAGCGUGGGUAGCAAACA
This 402-nucleotide ribosomal RNA is filed under the name uncultured bacterium. RNAcentral's name for it is "bacterial SSU rRNA". It matches the Rfam family "Bacterial small subunit ribosomal RNA", at positions 355 to 774 of the family's 1533-position model. The record is from RNAcentral.